This 813-nucleotide ribosomal RNA is filed under the name Jagora asperata. Its description in RNAcentral is "partial 16S ribosomal RNA". It matches the Rfam family "Bacterial large subunit ribosomal RNA", at positions 1443 to 2564 of the family's 2925-position model. Lineage: Eukaryota; Metazoa; Mollusca; Gastropoda; Pachychilidae. The record is from RNAcentral.
CAGUACUGCUGUACUGUUGAUUUAUUUUUAUAUUUUGGUUUUUGGGGGAGAAGCCUGAAAAAAUUAGACAAGUUUCUUGUUUAAAUUAAUUAUAUAAGCCUGAAAUUAGCUAUUACUAAGGAAUUUGUUACAAAGCAAUUUAGAUAUAAAGAAGAAUAAUUAUACUAUUUAGUGAUGGUGGUAAUGGAAAGAAUUAGAUUUAAAUUUAUUUAUGCUAGAAUGAGUAUUAAUCACUAGUUGAAUGGAUUUUAAUUAGAAAAUAAUCUAUAGGCAUGUUUUGUCUAGGAAUUAAGUAGAAAUAAGGAACUCGGCAAAUAGAAGCUUCGCCUGUUUAUCAAAAACAUGGCUCUUUGAAUUACUUUUUAUGGAGAGUCGAACCUGCCCAGUGAAAUUUUAACGGCCGCGGUACCCUAACCGUGCAAAGGUAGCAUAAUCAUUUGCCUUAUAAUUAAAGGCUUGUAUGAAUGGUUUGACGGGGCAUUACUGUCUGUUUUUUAUUUUGUAGAAUUUGACUUCCAGGUGAAGAGGCCUGGGUAUAAUUGAAAGACAAGAAGACCCUAUCGAGCUUAAGAAUAAACUAUAAAUAAAUUAUAAAUUAAAAUCACUUGUUAGUUAAUUUUUUUUGGUUGGGGCGACCCAGGAACAGGUAAAGCUUCCUGCAUAUUUUCAGUUAACAAAUAAUGAUCCAGCAAGGCUGAUUAGCAAAAUUAGUUACCGUAGGGAUAACAGCAUAAUCCUUCUUGAGAGAUCUAAUCGAAAGAGGGGGUUGUGACCUCGAUGUUGGACUAUAAUAUCCUAAAGAUGUAGAAGUCU